This is a non-coding RNA of Echria macrotheca, 116 nucleotides long. Lineage: Eukaryota; Fungi; Ascomycota; Sordariomycetes; Sordariales; Schizotheciaceae. The record is from the annotation of a GenBank genome assembly.
GGGCGGGUAGCGUAGUGGUCAGCGCAUUCCUAAUCGUUUCAGCGUUUGUUUGUUUUCUUGAUUAUUACUUUCUCGGCGUUUAGCGAAAGACCUGGGUUCGAGUCCCAGCCCGCCCA